UGGAGAGGAACAAUUCUGAGUCUUAACC
Molecule: non-coding RNA, 28 nt
Filed under: Cricetulus griseus (Chinese hamster)
Lineage: Eukaryota; Metazoa; Chordata; Mammalia; Rodentia; Cricetidae
Also listed under: 1 other name
Source: RNAcentral